Molecule: transfer RNA, 73 nt
Filed under: Diaphorina citri (Asian citrus psyllid)
Lineage: Eukaryota; Metazoa; Arthropoda; Insecta; Hemiptera; Psyllidae
Rfam family: tRNA
About the family: Transfer RNA (tRNA) molecules are approximately 80 nucleotides in length. Their secondary structure includes four short double-helical elements and three loops (D, anti-codon, and T loops).
Source: Rfam by way of RNAcentral
GCCUAGUUAGCUUGGAAGGUAGAGCGCCUGCUUUGUAAGCACUAGGCCGCAGGUUCGAUUCCCGCCCCGGGUG